Small nucleolar RNA from Gossypium arboreum, 107 nucleotides. It matches the Rfam family "Plant small nucleolar RNA R71". From Rfam's summary of the family: R71 is a member of the C/D box family of snoRNAs containing the C (UGAUGA) and D (CUGA) box motifs. The record is from Rfam. NCBI's taxonomy places the organism in Eukaryota, Viridiplantae, Streptophyta, Magnoliopsida, Malvales, Malvaceae.
AUACCGUGAUGAGGGUGCUUUCGUAAUAACUCCUUGAAUCACUUUUAUGCCUCGUAUAAAGAUUAUUCAUCAAGUUGCUAAGAUGAAGUGAUUUCAUUUUGGAUCGU